This 2281-nucleotide long non-coding RNA is filed under the name Bactrocera tryoni. RNAcentral's name for it is "uncharacterized LOC120778436". The record is from RNAcentral. Lineage: Eukaryota; Metazoa; Arthropoda; Insecta; Diptera; Tephritidae.
UCUCAGUUGGUGCAACGAGAUUUCUGUGUUCACACUUCGUGCAGGCAGCCGAGUCAAUUUUAUUUUUGUCACCAUAAUUAAAAUGCGCUGGUUGUGAGUGUGGUGUUGGUUGUGUUGGCUGCCAUUCACCGUCGGGCGCGCUGUGGUGUCCACCUUUCUGUUUUAACUUUUUUCGCUGCACUUCGUUAAGUUGAAUUUGAUGUUUUUUUUUGUUUUUGUGCAGUUAGCGCCGCGCUUAAUUUGAGAUCUGUUAAGGGUUGAAAUAAAAGUAUAUGACCGUAAGGAAGUGACCAUUUUUAUCCACCGCGAGCUUGGCCAGCGUUGGGCCACCAUUGGCGUACAUGCUGUAAGACAGCGGAUCCUACCAGUCGCCAUCUGCAGAAGCUGUAUGGAAGAAGAUGGGAUGGAAGCAACUCAACACUUCCUUCUUGACUGGUCCGCGUUCGGUAGGUCAAACUUAACACUUGGGAGCACAUACCUUAAGAUGUCUCGGACGAGAAUGGAAAUUAAACGCUUGUUCUUCUUUUCUAUGGAUUCAUAAAUAACUACAAAUGCGAUCUCCCUCGAUCAGCCAUCUAACAUAACCUAUUCCCAUAUAAAUUGAGCUGCCUAUACUCUGCACAAGAGAAUAAGUUGGAUUAAACGAAAAUUUAUAAGAAAACAGAGUCUCUAAUACGAUCUUAUGGUUACACAGAAAUCAAACACCUCGAAAUUCUCAAAAGAAAAUGAGCUAACUCAGGCUACGGAACGAUAUCGACUGGAAUAUAUAAGAGAGCCGCCGGAAAGACCGAAAAGAACUUUGAUAAUGAGAACCAAGCUCAUAGCCGACCCCUAAUUAAAGCAAUUAAUACCAAAUUUUGGCACAUUUUCUGUGCCCUUAGCGUUUCUAGUACGGACAAAUCAAAAACCGAAUCAAUGAAGAAAAUGGGCUGACUUGGGCUACAGAAAGCUAUCGACUAGAUCCUAAAAGGCAGCCGAAAGAAAAGCCGGACCGCUAUAACCGGUAGAAGAAAUUUGGACAUCAUAAUAUCUAAGAUACAAAAUAUUUGAGUCAAUACGGAAGGCUAGCGCAAGUUCGUAGAAGUUAUUUGGACAUCGCAGUAGCUAAGAUCCAGUUGCAAUCCAAAGUCAAUUCGAGAGGUCAGCAUAAUAUCGAAGUACUUGGAAGAGUAUCGUAGUAGCCCCUUGUGGAUAUCGCAAGUUUGAAGAAGAAAUUUGAACACAUAAGGUACAAAAAAGUUGGUCAAUAACUUAGUACAAAACCUUGCAGAGUAGCGAAUCGAACAAUUAAGUGGUAUAAAAUUGAUAGACUGGCAUAAGCAGAAAGACACAGUGUAGAAGGUAUUUUUCAGCUAGAAGUAAACGCUCCUAUAUGUGGAACUCUUAUAUGAGAGCAAAGCACUAACAAGGUGAACAGAGUAAGUGACGAAACGAAGACGGCUAGUAUUAUGUAAGCCAAAUAUGAACAAAACGUUCUUUAAUAAUAAUAACAAUAAAGAAAAGGCGCAAAUACUUAUGGUGUGCGUCAUGCAAAUAACAACAAAAGCAAACACACUAAUAUACAAAUAUGUAUAUAUAUACUCAAAUAUUUCUGCGACCCGCACGCACCAAAAGCGCUAAUAACUAAACAACAACGCACAAGCGAUAGUCAUAUGCCAUAAAUGGAGGGGGUUAACGCGCAGGGGGAGACACGCUUGACAAAACGGCGGCAAACCGGCGAAGACACCACAUAUUGUGUAUCUUACUUAUUUAUUUACUUGUUAAGCGUCGUAUGUGUGCUUUAUGCUCGUUUUUCCAAAACUACCAAAGUCACAUAGCAAAUGUUCACAUAUAUGUCUGUAUGUAUGUUCAAAUGUAUAUGAUUGCUUGUGUGUCGUCGUCGUUACCGGCAAAAUACCCGGCAUAUUCAUAUGUAUACAGUUUAGUAAGUAAAUACUGACCUUUUCUAAUAAUUCACAGUGAAGGCAUUCACGAAGAAAAUCGUCGUCAUUCGCCGCGGCCGCUACACAAGCAAGCGAAAGUCACAACAAAAAGACACAAAUAAUGAAAAUGGCUGGCAAACAACAGCCGAGUGGAAGUGGAAGUAGAAGUAGGCGUGGAACUAAAGUGAAAUGAGUCGAAGUAAGAAGCAGAAAUGUAUACAUAUAUAUACAUACAUGUGAAUAUACAUACAUAUAUGUAUGUAUGACAAUAUGCAAAGAGCGCUAUGAAGAGCAGACGAGUGUGUAAAUAUAUAAAUUAUUUAUUUGCUAAUAAAAAUUUAAAUUCCAAUUUGUUAAAA